This 1488-nucleotide long non-coding RNA is filed under the name Macaca fascicularis (crab-eating macaque). Its description in RNAcentral is "lncRNA (ENSMFAG00000048496.1)". Lineage: Eukaryota; Metazoa; Chordata; Mammalia; Primates; Cercopithecidae. The record is from RNAcentral.
CCCUUUUCCCGGCGCGGCUCGGUGCGCAUGCGACUUGCCCAGUUAGGCAGCACGGAGCCGCGCCAGGGAUCCCGGACGCCCGAAAAGAUUCCUGCUCCCUUGGGCCGAAACCUGGCUCUGCAGGCGCCCAGUUCCCUGCCCCGGCCGGGAAGGGCACCGGUUACUAGAAAGCCGGGGAGGCGGGGCCUGGUCGGGUGGAGGGCGCGGCCGGCCGGCGGAGCGCUAGCCUUAGGUCCUGGAGGCUCUUUGGCUUUCCCCCCGUGUGCCGGGGGCGAGGAGGAGGAGGAAGAGCUUCCUGCCGGAUGAGGGAUCCGGAGGCCAGAAAGGGAACCCGCUCUCCCUUCCAAAGCAAAACACUGCAGACGCCAGGUUAGAUUUUUCGGGUGUUGGCAGGAGACUUUUUCCCCCAGUGGCAUCACUCGCGUUUCCUCUCCUGGUGCUGGGAGUGAAGAGUUGAAGAGGCGCCUGGACCGCCAGUGACAUCCUCUCCCAUCUGGAGGAGCGAGGCUUGGGUUGCUUCUUAUUGGUGGGUGGGUUUGGGGAAACAGGGCAUGCGCCUUCGGCCGGAGGAGGGAAGCGAAAGGACGUCGGGAUUUAUUUGCUCAUUUGGAGAUUUUCCCCCGGCCUUUUAUAAAAACCAAGUGACAGUAUGAUGGAAGAUGGGGAAUGAAGCAUCAGAAAUAAACCAGGACCCUAAUUUGCAUGGAUUUCCUCGUUGCAACAACGUGUGACUACUACGUAUCUUCGGGAAAUGACUUCCCUUGAUGCGUUAAGGCACUCUUGGUCCACAGGGGAAAGCACAUUUCAGUGCUUCUACUGGAGAAGAGAUCUUUACAAUCUUAAUUCCUAGUAAUUCCUAUGUUUUAAUGAAUAUCAUUUGGAUUUGAAAUAAAAAGCCAUCUUCUUGUUUCAAAAAAUACACUUUACUUUUUUGGCUAUAAAAUCCUCCCUUUAAAGUAACAUUCACCUCAGUAAACAUUUUCAGUUCUUGCUGUAUGCUCCGGGCAAAAGAACAUCAAACUGAAUCACUUAUUCAGAUACUUGAUCCUUCACCUAAGGAUUUUUCUUUCAGGAGUGGGAAAACAUGAUUUGUUAAUUGACCCCAUCAUAUAACAGAAGAUAUUUUGGUCGACAUUUUUGCCUGUUCAGCAUUCAUUCCCUAUUCUGAUAAUUUCCUUUGAAGAACUAUCAUUUAUCCACUCUCAGUCCACAUGGUCUGAGCAGGACACAGGGGGAAAGCAUAUUUGAGUUUAAUCCUCUGUUGCAAACUAAGUUCCUAAGAAAGGUUUUACCUCUUUACCAGUGGGUUUAAAUCUGGGAGAAUGGAAACCUGGAGCCGUCUUUCCACACGUGAAUUCUGAGAAAGAAAGCAACAUGGAAAAUAAGCAGAUUUGAAGACAAGAGGUUUGGCCUAAACACAUGUUUGAGGCCCUGAAACAAAUGUGGACUAGAUUCCUCUGGAAAUUUCAUUAAACCAGUCAGUAAAUU